This 497-nucleotide ribosomal RNA is filed under the name uncultured bacterium. Its description in RNAcentral is "partial 16S ribosomal RNA". It matches the Rfam family "Bacterial small subunit ribosomal RNA", at positions 28 to 507 of the family's 1533-position model. The record is from RNAcentral.
GAUGAACGCUGGCGGCGUGCCUAAUACAUGCAAGUCGAGCGAACAGACGAGGAGCUUGCUCCUCUGACGUUAGCGGCGGACGGGUGAGUAACACGUGGAUAACCUACCUAUAAGACUGGGAUAACUUCGGGAAACCGGAGCUAAUACCGGAUAAUAUAUUGAACCGCAUGGUUCAAUAGUGAAAGACGGUUUUGCUGUCACUUAUAGAUGGAUCCGCGCCGCAUUAGCUAGUUGGUAAGGCAACGGCUUACCAAGGCAACGAUGCGUAGCCGACCUGAGAGGGUGAUCGGCCACACUGGAACUGAGACACGGUCCAGACUCCUACGGGAGGCAGCAGUAGGGAAUCUUCCGCAAUGGGCGAAAGCCUGACGGAGCAACGCCGCGUGAGUGAUGAAGGUCUUCGGAUCGUAAAACUCUGUUAUUAGGGAAGAACAAAUGUGUAAGUAACUAUGCACGUCUUGACGGUACCUAAUCAGAAAGCAACGGCUAACUACGUG